This 226-nucleotide ribosomal RNA is filed under the name uncultured bacterium. RNAcentral describes it as "partial 16S ribosomal RNA". It matches the Rfam family "Bacterial small subunit ribosomal RNA", at positions 538 to 763 of the family's 1533-position model. The record is from RNAcentral.
GCGUUAUCCGGGUUCACUGGGUUUAAAGGGCGCGUAGGUGGGAAUGUAAGUCAGUGGUGAAAUCUCUGAGCUUAACUCAUAAACUGCCACUGAUACUAUGUUUCUUGAAUUUUCUGGAGGUCAGCGGAAUAUGUCAUGUAGCGGUGAAAUGCUUAGAUAUGACAUAGAACACCAAUUGCGAAGGCAGCUGGCUACAGCGAUAUUGACACUGAGGCACGAAAGCGUG